RNAcentral lists this long non-coding RNA (1137 nucleotides) under Oncorhynchus kisutch (coho salmon). Its description in RNAcentral is "lncRNA (ENSOKIG00005050110.1)". The record is from RNAcentral. Lineage: Eukaryota; Metazoa; Chordata; Actinopteri; Salmoniformes; Salmonidae.
AAACAUUAUCAUGUAGCUAGACAGUAAUUGCGACGAAUUAGACGUAAAACAACUACUAACGUUAGCUAGGACCGUAGGUCUUUCUACGCCUGCUAGUUCUACGCCGGUUAAACUCGGUAAAAUGUUUGAAUAUCUAGCAUUUGACCUAUCUCGUUUACAAACUACUGGUAAAAAUUGCUUACAUUUCCUAAAAUGUUAUGUUCAAUAACAAUGUUAGAAUUAGUGUGAAAAUACAGAAACAUACGUGAAUUAGAGUAUUUUAUCGGCCAUUGACAUUAUAAUGUGGCAUACGCUAACAACUAGGAACAUAAAAACUCCCAAAAAGGCUAGCAAUAAAUCCCAAAACAUUUCCGGGUCAAAGUUGAAAAAAAAAGUGACAUUGAUUUCUGAAACAGCCGUGACUAUAAUGUUGUUGUCACACAUCGAAUGACACUAUAAAAAUAAAAAAAAUUAAGAGGAGAAUACAAUGUAUUUUCUAUAAAACUUGAAACGUGUUUUAAAGAGGACGGAACGCGCUUUGGCUCGCUGAAUAGCUUUUGCAGCAGUGACACGACGUUAUCAGCCGUAAAGUUGUAGGUUGUACGAAUUGACCAGCUGAGGGCAAAGAUCCCCGUUUUCCUGUUAGCUAACACAACUGUCACAAUUGUCAAAAUGCCUCCUCAUCUUGACUGGAGAAUGGUGAUGGAUGCUGACCCAGAACAGCUGCAGGAGAGUGGAGAUGCAGAGAUAAUCAACCACAUGUUUUUACAGGUCAAACGAUGGGAGCGGGAGUUGAAAGAUGGAAGCCCAGAGAAAAUUGUUCACCUCUUGCGAGUCGUUCAAGGCCUUCUGAAGGUGUCCAAUGCUAUUAUUACCCAGACACAUCCAGAGAUGCAUUACUCAAGCUCACUAAAACUGUGCUGAAAUGAUUUUAUCCAGUGUUAAUAUCAGAGUGGAAUACAUUACGUAGUUGCUUUGAAGGAAUAAGCUCUACACAGUGUGGUAUAAUUAAUAUAAAAAAGUUUGAUUAUAUUUGCUUCAGAUACUUGACCUGCUUUUGGGUGGAUUUACAAUAUUCAUCUGUUAUAGUCUCAGUUUCAUGUAACGUACAGUUGUGGUCAAAUAUAUUGGCAGCCUUGCACUUUUCUUAAUUAAAUC